CGGAGGGGCUAGCGUUGUUCGGAAUUACUGGGCGUAAAGCGUACGUAGGCGGCUUUGUAAGUUAGAGGUGAAAGCCCGGGGCUCAACUCCGGAACUGCCUUUAAGACUGCAUCGCUAGAACGUCGGAGAGGUGAGUGGAAUUCCGAGUGUAGAGGUGAAAUUCGUAGAUAUUCGGAAGAACACCAGUGGCGAAGGCGACUCACUGGACGACUGUUGACGCUGAGGUACGAAAGCGUGGGGAGCAAACAGGAUU
This 253-nucleotide ribosomal RNA is filed under the name uncultured bacterium. RNAcentral describes it as "partial 16S ribosomal RNA". It matches the Rfam family "Bacterial small subunit ribosomal RNA", at positions 527 to 779 of the family's 1533-position model. The record is from RNAcentral.